GAUGAACGCUAGCUACAGGCUUAACACAUGCAAGUCGAGGGGAAACGAUAUUGGAAGCUUGCUUCCGAUAGGCGUCGACCGGCGCACGGGUGAGUAACGCGUAUCCAACCUGCCCACCACUUGGGGAUAACCUUGCGAAAGUAAGACUAAUACCCAAUGACGUCUCUAGAAGACAUCUGAAAGAGAUUAAAGAUUUAUCGGUGAUGGAUGGGGAUGCGUCUGAUUAGCUUGUUGGCGGGGUAACGGCCCACCAAGGCGACGAUCAGUAGGGGUUCUGAGAGGAAGGUCCCCCACAUUGGAACUGAGACACGGUCCAAACUCCUACGGGAGGCAGCAGUGAGGAAUAUUGGUCAAUGGGCGAGAGCCUGAACCAGCCAAGUAGCGUGCAGGAAGACGGCCCUAUGGGUUGUAAACUGCUUUUAUAGGGGAAUAAAGUGAGCCACGUGUGGUUUUUUGCAUGUACCCUAUGAAUAAGGACCGGCUAAUUCCGUG
This 492-nucleotide ribosomal RNA is filed under the name uncultured bacterium. Its description in RNAcentral is "bacterial SSU rRNA". It matches the Rfam family "Bacterial small subunit ribosomal RNA", at positions 28 to 507 of the family's 1533-position model. The record is from RNAcentral.